AACGAACGCUGGCGGCAGGCCUAAUACAUGCAAGUCGAACGAACCUUCGGGUUAGUGGCGCACGGGUGCGUAACGCGUGGGAAUGUACACCUUGGUAAGGAAUAACUGCUGGAAACGGUAGCUAAUACCUUAUAAUGACUCCGGUCCAAAGAUUUAUCGCCAAGGAAUCAGCCCGCGUUAGAUUAGCUAGUUGGUGAGGU
This 200-nucleotide ribosomal RNA is filed under the name uncultured bacterium. RNAcentral's name for it is "partial 16S ribosomal RNA". It matches the Rfam family "Bacterial small subunit ribosomal RNA", at positions 29 to 258 of the family's 1533-position model. The record is from RNAcentral.